GGCUCAUGUGUGAAGAUAGUCAUCAUUGUCUUGAGUCACCCCAUCUUAACUGCCCAUCUGGACCACACUGUGAGAGGAGCCCACCCAGUCCUAAUGUAACAAUAUUCUUCCCCAUGAGUAGUCUAGUUAAUGAAAUUGGAGAUGGAAAGUACAAGCAGAGCAGACCUUGCUCUCCCAAGCCCACAACAGGCCUCCAGUAUUGAGCUCUCAGAAACAGCUUUCCAUGGUGAUAUCCCAAAGAGGAAGGCUGUGCUGUCCCCACCACAACGUACAUGGCUGACAUUUUUGAAGAAUGAACUGGAAUUUCUGGGGGUGAGUGAGAGUCCUCCAACCUCACAUGGAGUAGUGCUGGCUCUAGGAAAGAAUAUUUGGUU
This 374-nucleotide long non-coding RNA is filed under the name Dasypus novemcinctus (nine-banded armadillo). RNAcentral's name for it is "lncRNA (ENSDNOG00000051965.1)". Lineage: Eukaryota; Metazoa; Chordata; Mammalia; Cingulata; Dasypodidae. The record is from RNAcentral.